This 1682-nucleotide unclassified non-coding RNA is filed under the name Hevea brasiliensis (rubber tree). Lineage: Eukaryota; Viridiplantae; Streptophyta; Magnoliopsida; Malpighiales; Euphorbiaceae. The record is from RNAcentral.
UUUCUUAGAUUUGGUUCUCUCAGGAAGAAUUGCGUUUAUGACCAGAGCUUGUUUACUUUGCAUGGAAAUUCUAUAUUGGAAGAUUUGGUAAUAACUUUAGCAGAUGGCAUUGCCAGUGUUUAUUUGGAGCUUAUUUCUGUUGAUGGUUAUUUGUCAAAUGAAAAGAACAACCUGGGAAUGGCUAUGUGUAAUUUGUCAACCCGAGCACUCCAAAGAUUGCGAAAUGAGGUGGCUUUGAAUCAAUGGUUGUAUCAAAAUGUGGAGGCAGUUGUAUCAAUGUAUGAGGAUCGAUUUGAUCUAUGCACUCUACAGUCAAUAGUCAUUGAGGAACCAAGCAAGAAUCAGACUGAAAAUCCUAGUUGGUGGAAGAAUCUAACUGGGAGAAAACAUGGAACAAUACCAUGUUCAUUAAGUUAUGUUGUCACAAGCCAGUUCUCUAUGCCUGUAAAACGGACCAAGGAAUUAAGGGCCUUAACAGGGUGGUAUGUCUCUAUUCUUUGACCCUGCAUUUUUUUUCCCUCUUGCAUGUGACAUAAACAUGUCUUCCAGUUGGAUGUGGAACUGAGGAUUCAUUCAAAGCAAUGAUGAAAUAUAGCUGAAACAUAGAGCCUUAUUUUUCUCUUAUUUCAUUUUCUUUACAUCGUAAGGUAUGUCUCCUGAAAAUAUCAUGGUUUGAACCUGAACUUCUUAACAUUGUAGAUUGUUCAAUGUGUUUUUUUCCCAUGGGAUCAGAGUAGGAUGGUGGCUGAAGUGGAGUUGUUAACUUUUGGCUGUAUAAAAGUUAUUGGGAAUUCUGGAUAAUAAAAUUUGCAAUAUUUUGGCGAAGUGGAUGGGUGGAGCAGAUGAAAAACUUUUUGUUAGAUUUGAAAUGGUGCAUGGAUUAAUUUCUUGAGGUAAUCUAUAAUUGUUUAGCUGAUUCUGUAAUUUGAUCAGGGCAUUGCUAAACGGUGAUAGUACCUUUAGGAAAUGAGUUGUUGUGCUAGGAAGCAAUCACUUUCACAAUUAGGGUAAUAUUUUUGGAUUUGGACAAUUGCUGUUAUCAAAUAAUGGUUUAGACCACGGGGAUUUGGAAAUUGGUUUGACAUGUUGUAAAAUUGCUAAAACUGUGUGCAUUCCAUGAUCUCUUCGAGAAGAGAGGUAACGGACUUGAUCUCUUCAAUUAUUUACAAUUAUGCUUAAAUGUACCGGUCCCUUGCACCUUAGUGCUCUUCUUUCUUUAUUGCUACCCCUUCACACACUCUUCCUCUAUCUUCUUCCUUUCUUUCCUUGUUGCAGAUUUGCUGAUUUUUUGGUUUAACCAUUUAAUCUAAUUGAAAGAACCAAUACUUCCAUGGAGCUGUGUCAAGUGCUGGGAUUUUUUGUCCUACCAUCCAAUCAUAUUUUGCUACAUUCUUCAACUACUGUAUGAUUUUUCGUGAUUACAAACUGAAAUAUUGUCUGUUUCCCUCUCUAAAUUAUCUUUUAUUGAUUUGCAGGAGAUACUACUUUAGUCUGUACCUUGAGUUAUCGGAUAUUUCCAUGCCAUUGAUUAGAGCUAUCAUCGACAAAGUUAGCAAUGCCAUAUCAUUCUUUCUAGUUUCCUUGAUUGGGAGGUCAUUAGGACUCAUCUACUCUGGAAUUAGGCAGUCCCUGCGGUGGAAAUGAGCUGUCAUGAGUUCAUUUUUUUUUUUUUUUUUUUUGUU